Molecule: long non-coding RNA, 301 nt
Organism: Lytechinus pictus (painted urchin)
Lineage: Eukaryota; Metazoa; Echinodermata; Echinoidea; Temnopleuroida; Toxopneustidae
Exons: 3
Source: RefSeq, a predicted model, not a curated record
UCUUAAUGGAGACUGACUUGGCCUUCUUUCUUGGAUACGUGGCGAUGACUAUCGUGGCUACUCGAUUUAGAUACGUCUUGUCGCUGAGGAAACUACUGCACCUAACCUAUCGGCUAUUCUACAGCAGUCUGUUCUUCAAGACAGUGUGUCUUCUACUCCUAAACAUCGAUUUAUCGAGGUUUGCCCGGACCGGACUUGAAAUGACUAAGAUGCAAGACGCUGCUGAGGUUUUCUCGUGGCUGUCUACGGUUUUCUUUGUGUGUGUUCUGCUGAUUGUGUCAAAGGGGUUCUCUAUUACCAG